UCUAAUAUGGCAGAAUAGUGCAUUGGAUUUAAGACCCAAAUAUAAAGAAACCUUUUUUUAGAA
This 63-nucleotide transfer RNA is filed under the name Platisus angusticollis. RNAcentral's name for it is "tRNA-Leu". It matches the Rfam family "tRNA". Rfam says of the family: Transfer RNA (tRNA) molecules are approximately 80 nucleotides in length. Lineage: Eukaryota; Metazoa; Arthropoda; Insecta; Coleoptera; Cucujidae. The record is from RNAcentral.